Molecule: long non-coding RNA, 352 nt
Filed under: Carica papaya (papaya)
Lineage: Eukaryota; Viridiplantae; Streptophyta; Magnoliopsida; Brassicales; Caricaceae
Description: long non-coding RNA (CPAP_LNC003616)
Source: RNAcentral
AAUCAACCAAAUUUUUAUUAAUUACGAUAAAUAUCAUGUGGAGAAAAUUAAAUAAGUUCAAUGCGGCCAAAUGCUCGAAUAAUUAAGGUUUUCUAAAUCAAGUAAGCACAACGAUGGGUGGAGUGUUACAUGGAUCCCACAGAUAGAGAAAUUUUUCUCUGUCUUAGACCUAACCGAUGAGAAAAAAGUUCUCCUAGCAGCAUUCAUGCUAAUUGGUGUAGCUAAACACUAGUGGCAACUUAAAAAGGAAGUCCUACCCACCUCUACAACUUGGGAAGUUUUCAUGAAUGUAUUCUUUGAGAACUACUUCCCAGUCUAUGUCUGAGAGAAGAAGGAGGAGGUAUUUUAGGAU